This 492-nucleotide ribosomal RNA is filed under the name uncultured bacterium. RNAcentral's name for it is "partial 16S ribosomal RNA". It matches the Rfam family "Bacterial small subunit ribosomal RNA", at positions 30 to 507 of the family's 1533-position model. The record is from RNAcentral.
AUUGAACGCUGGCGGUAUGCCUAACACAUGCAAGUCGAACGGCAGCACAGUAAGAGCUUGCUCUUACGGGUGGCGAGUGGCGGACGGGUGAGGAAUACAUCGGAAUCUACUUUUUCGUGGGGGAUAACGUAGGGAAACUUACGCUAAUACCGCAUACGACCUACGGGUGAAAGCAUGGGAUCUUCGGACCUUGCGCGAUUGAAUGAGCCGAUGUCGGAUUAGCUAGUUGGCGGGGUAAAGGCCCACCAAGGCGACGAUCCGUAGAUGGUCUGAGAGGAUGAUCAGCCACACUGGAACUGAGACACGGUCCAGACUCCUACGGGAGGCAGCAGUGGGGAAUAUUGGACAAUGGGCGCAAGCCUGAUCCAGCCAUACCGCGUGGGUGAAGAAGGCCUUCGGGUUGUAAAGCCCUUUUGUUGGGAAAGAAAAGCAGCAGGUUAAUACCCCGCUGUUCUGACGGUACACAAAGAAUAAGCACAGGCUAACUUCGUG